This 63-nucleotide transfer RNA is filed under the name Ampulex compressa. RNAcentral's name for it is "tRNA-Ser". Lineage: Eukaryota; Metazoa; Arthropoda; Insecta; Hymenoptera; Ampulicidae. The record is from RNAcentral.
UAUAUAUAUAUAUAUAUAGGAUAUUAAUUUAAUAUAAAAUAUUUAAAUUGCAUUUAAAAAUUG